Molecule: ribosomal RNA, 344 nt
Filed under: uncultured bacterium
Lineage: Bacteria
Description: partial 16S ribosomal RNA
Rfam family: Bacterial small subunit ribosomal RNA
Source: RNAcentral
CCUACGGGUGACAGCAGUGGGGAAUAUUGCACAAUGGGGGAAACCCUGAUGCAGCGACGCCGCGUGAGCGAAGAAGUAUUUCGGUGUUGAAAGCUCUAUCAGCAGGGAAGAAAAUGACGGUACCUGAGUAAGAAGCUCCGGCUAAAUACAUGCCAGCAGCCGCGGUAAUACGUAGGGAGCAAGCGUUAUCCGGAUUUACUGGGCGUAAAGGGAGCGUAGGCGGCCUGACAAGUCUGAUGUGAAAUACCGGGGCUUAACCCCGGAGCUGCAUGGGAAACUGGCAGGCUGGAGUGCCGGAGAGGUAGGCGGAAUGUAUGGUGUAGCGGUGAAAUGCGUAGAUAUUA